Molecule: microRNA precursor, 59 nt
Filed under: Limulus polyphemus (Atlantic horseshoe crab)
Lineage: Eukaryota; Metazoa; Arthropoda; Merostomata; Xiphosura; Limulidae
Description: Lpo-Mir-34-P18_pre stem-loop
Source: RNAcentral
UGGCAGUGUAGUUAGCUGGUUGUGAAUAUAAUUAAACAACCACUAUCUGCACUGCUCCA